GGCCGACUAGCUCAGUUGGUUAGAGCGUGGUACUAAUACCUGCUGGUGUUAUGCCAAGGUCGUCAGUUCGAUCCUGGCGUUGGCCA
Molecule: transfer RNA, 86 nt
Filed under: Obba rivulosa
Lineage: Eukaryota; Fungi; Basidiomycota; Agaricomycetes; Polyporales; Gelatoporiaceae
Rfam family: tRNA
About the family: Transfer RNA (tRNA) molecules are approximately 80 nucleotides in length. Their secondary structure includes four short double-helical elements and three loops (D, anti-codon, and T loops).
Source: Rfam by way of RNAcentral